UUUAUCACAGAUAGUUACUUAAUACAAGCAUUUUUUUAAAAAGUAAUGCUAUUAGCCAUUGUACAUUAACUAUCAAAAAUAGGCAGUUUCAUUACAAUGUAUGCAGUCCUUGCUACCCUGCAGUGGAGAUGUUUUCAGGUGGGCCUGGGAACAUGAGGCCCUCUCCAGGUGGGUGGGUGAGAUGGCACUUAAAUCUAGGAGCAAGGAGAGGAAGGCUUUACUGCCGAAUAUUGCCUUGUGUUCUUUGACUCUCUUGCAGUAACAAAGGUAAAGUUUGCUGUCUCUUCUUUGAUGAGACAGAAGCUUCCGUCUGCUUAUUACAUGUGCAGUGAAAGAGAGCGUGGUAAGCAGGUGCUCACUUACUGAUCUCUCCAGCAUCUCGGGAAAAUAGAGAAGUAGACAGGAAUUCCUUAGUAGGGACUGUGUAUUUCUCACUGAGAAAACCUCUAGAAGAAAUCCCUCAUCCUUUUAUUUUUUUAAGGCUCUUGAGGAUAUGGUCAUGUGUAUAUGGUUGUUGUAUGCAUCAGAAUGUUCUGGUAAAUAAUGUUGUAUGACUUUAUGCCCCCUACCUUUCCCCUCAGCCAGUCUGCUUCACGUGUGGCCUUGUUCAGGCAGACAAUCAGCAUAGUACAGAUAAAAAUACAAGUCUCUUGAAGACAGAUAAGAAUUACAAAUCUGUCUCAAGCUGGGUGCUGAAAGAACUGAUGGCAGGCUGAUGGCAGACACCUGAUUCAACAGCUGAGGUCCAUUAGAGCAGGUGCUACAACCAGUAUGACUCAACCAUCUUACCUCAUAAAUAUUGAGCAGGCCCAGAGGCCCUUGGGCUCUUCUGCAGGACAGUCUUCUGGGAACUCCUCUUUGGUGCUGUGUGAUGCCUUGCUGAUACAGACCUUUGAGUGGGCAGCGUGGAGGAAGUGUGAAAAAGUAGCAGGAGAAGGAGGCAAAGAGGCAUUUCUGAAUAAGUUGUUGUGACAGAAGGUUUUUCACUGCUAAGAAUCUGUCCAUACAUAGCCCAUCCAGUGGAAUAACCACUAAAAAGAAGUCUAGGUCUUCCUCAGGCAUCUGUACCAGAGCUGUGCUGUCCAUGCUUGUGACAAGACACAAGGGAUUUACACAAACGUCAGUAAGUCACUGGAGUUUAACUGUGGAUUCUUCUUCCUAAGGUCAACAGCUGAAGCUAGAGACAAGGGAAUUUAUUUUGUUGCUGUCUGGACCUUCCCUUUCUGCGCUUAAAAGAUGCUAGUUAUUAGAACUUUGUAUCAGAAACAUCAGUUGGAUGGUUUACCUCAGUCUCAAAACUGUUAAUCAGCUCAAAAUACUUCUAAAACUUUGGAAGGAACAUGAUAUCAAAGUGCUGUUUAUCAGAGCUUUGUAUGAUAUUAAUGGUUGCAAGGUGUUUGCUUAAGGCAAACCUGGCUGUGACUUGUCCAGAAAUAAAAACUGAAGGUUUUGUGGAAGAAAAGUUGUAUACUUAAAGAUGAAAGUCCCUGAACAUACUACAGCCGUUGAUUUUUCUUAUCUAAUUAUCUGUUUUUACAGUUUAAGUCUUAAAUGUAUCUUUUCCUUUGUUUUGUUUUUAAAUGUCCUUGAAGUUAAGAGCAGCCUACCACUCUGUUUCUUUGAACUAGGUAUUUCUGUAAUUUGCAUAUGUGUAGCUUUGUGUUUAUCUGAUUCAAUUUCUUGACAUAAAUAAACCUGAUGCAAUUUUAAAUAUGGUUUAAAUGGAAAGGGGCUGAAGGCAGUCAAACUUGGAAAGCACUCUAUCUCCCUUUUCUGGGAAAACAACCAAAGCCUUUUAGCAAACCUUAAGAGGUGCCUUUAUAAGAUUACGUACUGUAAUAUUCCAUUAAGAAAACAUUUUAAAAUGGUGUUAGGAAAUCAUUAAAUCUUGUUAGACAAUUUCAUUUGGACUUUUGUGUUUAUGGGCUUUCAGAGUGAACUUAGAGAUAGCCAAAAGAGUUGCAUAGCGGUGCGAAGAUCUGGUGCUGCCUUGACUUUUGUCUACAGGGACAGCUGAAACAAACUGAGGAGCAGAAAGGACCUGCUGCUGUGCAUCUCUUGAACGUAUGAACAAUCCGUGUCUGAAUUCUUGGACGCUUAACAGGCAACAGUGGUGGAUUUAUCCAUUGUGCUUUAUAUUCCUCUGAAACUAAAGAAUAUGGGAUACCCUCAGUACCAUCUUUGCACACAUACUUUAGCCAUAUAUACCCUUCCCUCAUUUGUAGGUGUUGCUGAUGGAAGAGAGAAACCUGAAACAUUGGCAACAAGUUUUUAGUCAACAAGAUGUUUUGUCAAAUGGCACCUGAGAGUGCUGUGAUACAGACAUGUGAGUUUUGAAUUCAACAGCAUUCAAUGUCAUGCUCCAGGAAAGCUACUCAACAGAUGGUAAAUUAAAACAACUUCUGUCCCCUAA
Meleagris gallopavo (turkey) is the source of this 2413-nucleotide non-coding RNA. Lineage: Eukaryota; Metazoa; Chordata; Aves; Galliformes; Phasianidae. The record is from RefSeq and is a predicted model, not a curated record.